UAUACAUCUUCCUGCUGAUCCAUGCUGGACUUCCUGACAAUAUGCGACACAUUCGCCUGCCAACACUUGCUUGUUAAGACUUGUUGGCAGACUUUACCACUGAUUGGUUAUAAGUUGAAUUUUGUGUUUACAGGUACUCCUCACUUUACGACCUACUUGUUUCAUAUGCUCACACUCACGACUGAGUUUACGAUUGUUUUUUUAAUGAAAAAUUUGGUUUUUGCCUAUAUGCGAAGCAUACGAUUUUUAUUGCAUAUAAUUCCUGCACUCAUAGUUCCAAAAAUUUGAAGAAAAAUACUGUGUGCAUAAUUAAAACAUAAAUUUUUAAGUUUUGAAAUUUGUUUCGAAUAUUUUCU
Molecule: long non-coding RNA, 356 nt
Filed under: Androctonus crassicauda
Lineage: Eukaryota; Metazoa; Arthropoda; Arachnida; Scorpiones; Buthidae
Source: RNAcentral